GCUUAGGUACCGUAAAGCGUGCACGGUGAUCGUAGCUAGUGACCCGUGACCGGGUUUGUAUUGUUAAUCGGCGCUCCCACGUGGGUGACUGAGCUGCAAUGUGUGAUCCCCAGGGUAAAUGGUUCUAACACCAUAUCCGACUCCAUUUUGAAUGUUGUGGAGGACAAUUUUUGCGGCGUGGGAUGGGCCUGCGGCCUUUCCCUUGUUGGUGGGGUUAUGGCCUACCAUUCCGGCCACUGUGAUCCGGAUUGAGAGGCCGUCCGGAAACCUUGGGACUGAGAACCGGCCCCCACCCCUACCCCAGGCAGCAAUGGGGAAUAUUGCUUCAUGGGCUCAAGCCUGAUGCACCGACGCCACGUGGGGGAUGAAGGCCUUCGGGUUGUAAACUCCUUUCGCUAUCGACCAAGUCACUUGUGGUGACGGUAGGUCGAUAAGAAGCUCCGGCUAACUACGUGCCAUCAGCCGCGGUAAUACUUAGGGUGCAAGCGUUGUCCGGAAUUACUGGGCGUAACGAGCUCUUAUGUGGUUUGUCGCGUCGUCUGUGAAAUCCCGGGGCUUAACUUCUGGCUUGCAGGCGAUACGGGCAUAACUUGAGCGCUGUAGGGGAGACUGGAAUUCCUGGUGUAGCGGUGAAAUGCGCAGAUAUCAGGAGGAACACCGAUGGUGAAGGCAGGUCUCUGGGCAGUUACUGACGCUGAGGAUCGAAAGCAUGGGUAGCGAACAGGAUUAAAUACCCUGGUAGUCCAUGCCGUAAACUGGUGGGCGCUAGGUGUAGGGGGCUUCCACGUCUUCUGUGCCGUACUAACGCUUUAGCGCCCCGCCUGGGGGAGUUACGGCCGCAAGGCUAAAACUCAAAGGAAUUGACGGGGGCCCGCACAAACGGCGGAGCAUGUGGAUUUAAUUCUAAUGCAACCGCGAAGAACCUUACCUGGGCUUGACAUAUACCAGGAUCGGGCUAGAGAUAAGUCUUUCCCUUGGGGCUCGUAUACCAGGUGAGCAGGGUCGUCGUCAGCCUCGUGUCUGAUAUGUUGCGUUUAUUUCCCGCACCGAGCCGCACCUUUGUCCUUAGGUUGCCCAGCACGGUUAUGGGUGGGCUACCU
RNAcentral lists this ribosomal RNA (1100 nucleotides) under Corynebacterium stationis. RNAcentral's name for it is "bacterial SSU rRNA". It matches the Rfam family "Bacterial small subunit ribosomal RNA", at positions 35 to 1142 of the family's 1533-position model. The record is from RNAcentral. Lineage: Bacteria; Bacillati; Actinomycetota; Actinomycetes; Mycobacteriales; Corynebacteriaceae.